RNAcentral lists this ribosomal RNA (1505 nucleotides) under Enterobacteriaceae bacterium KVD-unk-44. Its description in RNAcentral is "bacterial SSU rRNA". It matches the Rfam family "Bacterial small subunit ribosomal RNA". The record is from RNAcentral. Lineage: Bacteria; Pseudomonadati; Pseudomonadota; Gammaproteobacteria; Enterobacterales; Enterobacteriaceae.
AGAGUUUGAUCCUGGCUCAGAUUGAACGCUGGCGGCAGGCCUAACACAUGCAAGUCGAACGGUAACAGGAAGCAGCUUGCUGCUUUGCUGACGAGUGGCGGACGGGUGAGUAAUGUCUGGGAAACUGCCCGAUGGAGGGGGAUAACUACUGGAAACGGUAGCUAAUACCGCAUAAYGUCGCAAGACCAAAGAGGGGGACCUUCGGGCCUCUUGCCAUCGGAUGUGCCCAGAUGGGAUUAGCUAGUAGGUGGGGUAACGGCUCACCUAGGCGACGAUCCCUAGCUGGUCUGAGAGGAUGACCAGCCACACUGGAACUGAGACACGGUCCAGACUCCUACGGGAGGCAGCAGUGGGGAAUAUUGCACAAUGGGCGCAAGCCUGAUGCAGCCAUGCCGCGUGUAUGAAGAAGGCCUUCGGGUUGUAAAGUACUUUCAGCGGGGAGGAAGGGAGUGCGGUUAAUAACCGUAUUCAUUGACGUUACCCGCAGAAGAAGCACCGGCUAACUCCGUGCCAGCAGCCGCGGUAAUACGGAGGGUGCAAGCGUUAAUCGGAAUUACUGGGCGUAAAGCGCACGCAGGCGGUCUGUCAAGUCGGAUGUGAAAUCCCCGGGCUCAACCUGGGAACUGCAUUCGAAACUGGCAGGCUUGAGUCUCGUAGAGGGAGGUAGAAUUCCAGGUGUAGCGGUGAAAUGCGUAGAGAUCUGGAGGAAUACCGGUGGCGAAGGCGGCCUCCUGGACGAAGACUGACGCUCAGGUGCGAAAGCGUGGGGAGCAAACAGGAUUAGAUACCCUGGUAGUCCACGCCGUAAACGAUGUCUACUUGGAGGUUGUGCCCUUGAGGCGUGGCUUCCGGAGCUAACGCGUUAAGUAGACCGCCUGGGGAGUACGGCCGCAAGGUUAAAACUCAAAUGAAUUGACGGGGGCCCGCACAAGCGGUGGAGCAUGUGGUUUAAUUCGAUGCAACGCGAAGAACCUUACCUGGUCUUGACAUCCACAGAACUUAGCAGAGAUGCUUUGGUGCCUUCGGGAACUGUGAGACAGGUGCUGCAUGGCUGUCGUCAGCUCGUGUUGUGAAAUGUUGGGUUAAGUCCCGCAACGAGCGCAACCCUUAUCCUUUGUUGCCAGCGGUCCGGCCGGGAACUCAAAGGAGACUGCCAGUGAUAAACUGGAGGAAGGUGGGGAUGACGUCAAGUCAUCAUGGCCCUUACGACCAGGGCUACACACGUGCUACAAUGGCAUAUACAAAGAGAAGCGACCUCGCGAGAGCAAGCGGACCUCAUAAAGUAUGUCGUAGUCCGGAUUGGAGUCUGCAACUCGACUCCAUGAAGUCGGAAUCGCUAGUAAUCGUGGAUCAGAAUGCCACGGUGAAUACGUUCCCGGGCCUUGUACACACCGCCCGUCACACCAUGGGAGUGGGUUGCAAAAGAAGUAGGUAGCUUAACCUUCGGGAGGGCGCUUACCACUUUGUGAUUCAUGACUGGGGUGAAGUCGUAACAAGGUAACCGU